Non-coding RNA from Paramisgurnus dabryanus, 1934 nucleotides. The record is from RefSeq and is a predicted model, not a curated record. Lineage: Eukaryota; Metazoa; Chordata; Actinopteri; Cypriniformes; Cobitidae.
GAGCACCAAUUAUGCUAAUAAAUUGGCACGUUAGCACGUUAUUGCAAUAUCCCAUAGUACAUACAUGUUAUUAAAACUUGAACUAAUGCAUUGUGAGUCUUAUAAAUUGCUUACAUACCUCACCGAUUUCCCACUGUCUGGAAAACGCUCGGUUUAGUUCCUGUCUCCGCCUCCCAAAAUGUCUAGUGUAAUCGGAUUGGUCAGAUGACUACUCAACUGUUAUUGGUCAGCUGGGUUCGGCUUGUGUUUGAAAGUUACGCCCCUGACUACGCGUGGGUUGACACAGAUUCUGACUGAGAGUCACAGCCUCAGAGGCAUCGUAAACAAGCGUUAUAUUUCUCUAUAAACGAUGGUGUCUGUACUGCCUUACCACUUCGAGCUCGAUCCAGAGAGUUCAGACGGCCGUUACGAUAUAAACGAUCUCCGUCAAUGAAUGCGAUUGGAUUUAACUUUUUUAGGUGUCCUUAGCUCUGCCAGAAUGCUAAACGAAGACGAAAAUGUGUUGCAAAGACAUCCAAAAGGUAAUUAUAACGUACUACAUAACUAUAUGGAAACACCAAAUGUAGCACAUAUAAAGUAUUUGUUGAAAUGAUUAUAAAACGAUUUCACUUGGUAAUUUCUACAUUAUUUUACUCUAGUAAAAUUUAUUAUAAGACUGCUUACAUACUGUAUUACUGUGCAAACUAUAUGGAAACACCAAAUGUAGCACAUAUAAAGUAUUUGUUGAAAUGAUUAUAAAAUGAUUUUACUUGGUAAUUUCUACAUUAUUUUACUCUAGUAAAAUUUAUUAUAAGACUGCUUACAUACUGUAUUACUGUGCAAACUAUAUGGAAACACCAAAUGUAGCACAUAGAAAGUAUUUGUUGAAAUGAUUAUAAAACGAUUUCACUUGGUAAUUUCUACAUUAUUUUACUCUAGUAAAAUUUAUUAUAAGACUGCUUACAUACUGUAUUACUGUGCAAACUAUAUGGAAACACCAAAUGUAGCACAUAUAAAGUAUUUGUUGAAAUGAUUAUAAAAUGAUUUUACUUGGUAAUUUCUACAUUAUUUUACUCUAGUAAAAUUUAUUAUAAGACUGCUUACAUACUGUAUUACUGUGCAAACUAUAUGGAAACACCAAAUGUUGCACAUAGAAAGUAUUUGUUGAAAUGAUUAUAAAACGAUUUCACUUGGUAAUUUCUACAUUAUUUUACUCUAGUAAAAUUUAUUAUAAGACUGCUUACAUACUGUAUUACUGUGCAAACUAUAUGGAAACACCAAAUGUAGCACAUAUAAAGUAUUUGUUGAAAUGAUUAUAAAACGAUUUCACUUGGUAAUUUCUACAUUAUUUUACUCUAGUAAAAUUAAUUAUAAAAUACUGCUUACAUACUAUUUUACUGUGCAAACUAUAUGGAAACAACAAAUGUAGCACAAAAAAAGUAUUAAUUGAAAUGAAUGUUAGUUCUACAUUAUUUUACUAUGGUAAACUUUAUUAUGAAAGACUGUGCUAUGUUUUUACUUACUAGGUUUUAAGGAGAAUGCAACAGGUUCCAGGGCCUCUUACCUGCGUGAUUCAUCAUCCAGGUUUUGCACAAAUUGUCUAAAUCCCUACACACAGAACAUUUAUUGUACCGACUAUAAGCCUUUGAGGCGCAGGACUAGAAUACGCUUGGAGCUUCCUGAUCGGAAUGUUGGCUUCCGACGACCCCUGCACUGAAGAUGGCAUGCAAUCACGUCCUCCUUUGAAGGUCUCUCAAACUGUGAUGCCAGGUCCAUUGGAAUCGGGGUUUCCUUCAGCUUAUCUUCAAAUACCUCAGCAAACACAAGCCUGAUCACAUCAUCCACAUAACUGUAGAAAUAUUGCGGUCAAAUCUUUUGUUUUGAUAAUUUAUUUCCCUGCUUCAUACAUUAAGUUUUUAAUUAUGAAUGUAUUUGAAAUAAAACAUUACUGCUUA